RNAcentral lists this ribosomal RNA (465 nucleotides) under uncultured bacterium. RNAcentral describes it as "partial 16S ribosomal RNA". It matches the Rfam family "Bacterial small subunit ribosomal RNA", at positions 28 to 507 of the family's 1533-position model. The record is from RNAcentral.
GACGAACGCUGGCGGCGUGCUUAACACAUGCAAGUCGAACGGAAAGGCCCUGCUUGCAGGGUAUUCGAGUGGCGAACGGGUGAGUAACACGUGGGUGAUCUGCCCUGCACUUCGGGAUAAGCCUGGGAAACUGGGUCUAAUACCGGAUAGGAGCCAUUUUUAGUGUGAUGGUUGGAAAGUUUUUUCGGUGUAGGAUGAGCUCGCGGCCUAUCAGCUUGUUGGUGGGGUAAUGGCCUACCAAGGCGGCGACGGGUAGCCGGCCUGAGAGGGUGGACGGCCACAUUGGGACUGAGAUACGGCCCAGACUCCUACGGGAGGCAGAAGUGGGGAAUAUUGAACAAGGGGCGCAAGCCUGAUGCAGCGACGCCGCGGGGGGGAGGACGGCCUUCGGGUUGUAAAAUCCUUUCGCUAGGGACGAAGCUUUUUGUGACGGUACCUAGAUAAGAAGCACCGGCUAACUACGUG